RNAcentral lists this ribosomal RNA (757 nucleotides) under Phimenes curvatus. RNAcentral's name for it is "partial large subunit ribosomal RNA". Lineage: Eukaryota; Metazoa; Arthropoda; Insecta; Hymenoptera; Vespidae. The record is from RNAcentral.
UUUUUUAUUAUUUUAGUUAAUGUAAAAAAAUUAUUAAUAAUUUUAAAUUAGAAGUGAAAUGUUAAUCGAUUAAAAUGAUAUCUAGUUUUUUUAGAAAUGAAUUUUAUUCAGUUAUUAAUUUAUAAAAAAAUUAAAUAUUUAAUUUUUUUAAUAUUAAUAAUAAAUAUUUUAGGGAUAACCCAAAAAAAUAAAAUAAUAAUUUUUAUAAAAAUAAUAAUAUAAAAAUGUAUUUAUAGAAAUUUAAAUCAUUAAAAAAAAUGUUAUAAUUUAUUAAAUUUUAUAAAUAAAAUUUAAAUAAUAAAUUUUAUAUAAAUAUAAAAAUAAUUUUUUUAAUUAUUUUAAAAAUGUAAUAAUGAUUAAAUUAGUAAAUAUUAUUUGUAUUAUAUUAAAUUUAAUUUUAAAAAUAAAUUUAAAGAAUUCGACAAAAAUUUUAUUCACCUGUUUAUCAAAAACAUGUCUUAUAGAAUUUAAUUAUAAGUCGGUUCUGCCCACUGAUAAAAAAUUGAAGGGCUGCAGUAUAUUGACUGUACUAAGGUAGCAUAAUAAUUUGUUUUUUAAAUGAAAACUGGAAUGAAGGAGCUGAUGAAAUAAAAAUUGUUUCAAAUUUAAUUUAUUGAAUUUAAAAUUUAAGUAAAAAUUCUUAAAUUUUUUUAUAAGACAAGAAGACCCUAUAGAAUUUUAUAAAAUUAUUAUUUAAAUUUAAAUAUGAAUUUUAUUUAAAUAAUUUUAUAUUUAAUUGGGAGGAUGAUAAAAUUAA